This is a non-coding RNA of Labrus bergylta (ballan wrasse), 3635 nucleotides long. Lineage: Eukaryota; Metazoa; Chordata; Actinopteri; Labriformes; Labridae. The record is from RefSeq and is a predicted model, not a curated record.
GCCCUCUCCUCCAGCUUAUGCAAAAAAAAGCUCUAUUUGUGGAGCUCUAACCCGGAAUGUCUGACUACAUUUCAGAGGUUUCAAAGUUUUCUCUGGGGGGCUGAAGUGGCCUGCCAUGAUGACGAUGAUGACGUUUAUAUAUAUAUAUAUAUAUAUAUAUUUGUAAUUCAGUGACAGUUGUGUCCUGAGGGGGGAUGUUUCAAAAAGAAAUAUGCCUGUGAGACAGCUGUGUCACAAAACUGUGGGUUUAAAUAAAACCAUAUAAAGGAAGAAAAAUAAUCUCCUCUUGAAGUUUCUUGAAGUACUGAUAGCAGUGUUUGCAUUGUCUAGAAAUAUUCAGAUUACCCUGCCUUCAGUUCAACUUUGAUUUCUCCUUCAAAUGACUAUUGGUGUAUAUUCCACCCAAGUGAUAUAUGACAUCAUUUUAAUUCACGGUUUCACCAUAUUACCAAUUACAACACGACGUCUGCUCUUUAGUUCAUCCAUUAAAAUGUAGUCGGAGGGCUCAGGAGGAAAUGUGUAUUCCAGACAGCGAUGAAUCUCAUAAAGAAAACAUGCAUAUUAAAUGAAUAUUUCAUGAAUAAUCUUGAUCUGGUCAUGCCCUCUCUUGAAAAAAAAAAGGUAUGCACAAAAUAUUGAUGGAUGUUCCGCCAUGCAAUACAUAAAAAAAUGUCUGAAAUCGAUUGGUCAUGUCUGAUAUGAUGCUUUAAUCCAGCCUUGACGUAUGCUUCAUUUGCAGAUUGGAAAUAAAUCGAAGGAUGCCCUUGGUACUGAGUGAACAGAUGAAUUCCUAUGAGAUUUGCUCAUGACAACACACAUGUUGGUCACCCAAAAUCUGCAUGAUAUGAUGUGGUUUCUACGGGCUCAUGGAGAAUUCAAACCUGGGGGCAUAUCCAUACUGUAUACAUUACAGCCUUGAUGUACCUGAAGCAGCUCCCUCGGAACAAUCUACAUUCCUUCACUUGCAACUGAGAGUGGAUACUGAUUCUGAACAACAAUUCAACUUAUUUUGGUAUCGUAUCAGCCAAUGGAAGAGGCUUCUGACACUGUUCAGAUUCACCGUCUGCAGAAUGGUGCCGAUCGGAGUUGGGAAUGUCUGCCAAUACAUAAUUUGUCACUGCAGCUUGGACUACAAAUUGACUACAAAUGGAAACUAGAAGACUUCCCACGCUGGAAAUCAAGACCCUUCCGUCUACCGAUUCUACAUUCCCAUGUAGAAGUGGAGAUUAUGUGGAACCCAAACACAGACGACAGACGAAGAGACAGACGAUGGUGAGCAGGUUUCUUGAAAUGCACUUCAGAGGAGACGAGAUGACUGGGCAUGGCUGGUGAAGUGACUAAGCGUGUGAGUGAGCGAGUAAACAGGCAGGUUAGCAGACAAGCUGGCUUACAUCAUGAUGCAGAUGAGACAAAGUCCUUGUUCAACCUGCCAGCCUAAAUCAUUUUGUUUUGUCACAUAUACAGAGAGUAGCCAGGUGGAUUUUAAACAACACAGUGACUUUUUAAAAAUUUGGAUGGAGGCAGCUACUCUAAUUCUAGUAAGAUUUCGACGGAUGUUUCAAAGAAAUGUCAUUCUGGCUACUCAGAUUUACAUAGAAGUGUCUUUUUAUGUCGCUGGCCACACAGUACACAACAUCAACCUCAAAUCCAAAAUGACUGGUUGGCUUUAGUAGAAUGGUCUUCGUCUACAGCUAUAGGUCAUUUCCAAUGCUGUUAGUCAGUUGCAAAAAUCUAGUCCUACUGCCGGAUUUAAAACAAGAUAAUUUGCUUGCUUGAAAUUCACAAUUUUUUCCAAAUAUUUCCGCAUCCAAAAAGCUGUGUCACCAACCCAAUGUUAAUGAAGGAAGCUAUUUUUGAUUUAGUCUUAGGCUGUGUCUGAAACCACCAUACUACAUAUUGCCUACUGCAUAGUCAAAAUAUAUAUAUUGCAUACUAACCCGACCAUUAGUAACAUACUUAAAAAGGAGUCUGCGACGUACUUCUGGUUGGACCUGAGUAACUUUAAUCACAGUGUGCUUGUGUGGGAAAGAACAAUAUGUUAAGAAAACUCUACCCAAGGUUGUGAUGUUGUUCAAGAACAGCCAACUGGUUGUAUCAUUGUUAGCCUACCAGAAGAGGUCAUGAUGUUUUUAUCUUUGUUUGUGAUUGGCCAAAAUGGCUUUACAGUAGAGCCCGACUGAUUUAUCGGCCAGCCGAUAAAAUCAGCUGAUAUUAACAUAUCCAGUGACUAUCGGCAUUGGAUAGUUUUAUCGCAGAUGUGCGCAGAUAUUAUGAGAUUUAUCUACUCGUCAAUUAGCAUUUCAUUUGAGUAUCACCGUAUUACAGAAGCACCUCUCGUUCACCAGCAGAGGGUGCUAUAUGGAUUACACAAAGCAUCAUCACUCUCCAGAGAAAGAUACUGGCCAAUAUUGUAUAUCGGUAUCAGAUUUUUCUCACCCUAAUAUCAGCCCCAAAAAUCAAAAUCUGUCUUGCUCUUGCCAGCACGUAACAAUGCAUUUUUGCGUCCUUAUGCGGACAAAGAUGUUUUUGAGAACUUAAUUAAUUUGAACAGACUUAUUUUUUGAAACAGAGGAGGAAGAAUACUGUGCACGAGGCAUUAUUCUAAGCACUGAGUGUGCCCACUCGUGCAAAUAAUGUGGAAAAGAAAGCUUUCAAGUGUCAACGACAUUCAUCAUGUCACGCAGUAAAGGCCCUGAAAAACAGAAAUGACAAUAGGUGCAAUACAGUUGAAUAUGGGCAGAGAUUUCACCGCUGGAACUUCAAGAAAAAAUGUUGUUGUGCAAGCUGAGGGAUGAGCUAUUUCAUCAAACAGCAUGGGCUCCCAUUAUACAGGCCGCCAUGUUCACCUUCCACGUUUGGACCAGCUUAGUCAUCGCAGAUGAAACAGUUGUGCUCCCAUUAGUCGAAGCAAAUAGAGGUCCUUGAAGGCUUCGGUCAGGGUCAAAUUUAAGAGUCAAAUCUAGCUAGGGGAGCUAUCAAUAAGAAUGGAAAGAACUUCUGAGUCAUACAAGAAAAAGAUUCCAAGAGGUGAGUUUUUCAGCUCUGGAAACCAAACCGAGGUGAGGUUGGUGUUACAUUGUAUCCUCCUGUAUUCUACCUGUGAAGCCUCAUGGAUGAAACAUAACCCAGUUUUUCUCAUCAAUGUUGGCAAAAGGGAAGGGAGAAAAACCUGAAUGUGGGUGGCAACACUGAAUUCCAAGACUAGAUUAUGUUCCCGUAGCUGUUAAGAACAUGAUGCACCUGCUGAGAAAUCACAACACUCCACUCAACGACACCUCACUUUAACCACCAGUUUACUGCCUGAGAGUGUUUUUUCCUCUGGAAACAUAUAAGUGUCUCUAAAAGGUUAAUUAAUGAAAACAUUGGAUGUAUUAAGGACAUUUCGCUCCACUCCGUGUGCGUUGGAUUUCUACUUCCCUUCAACAGAUAAUGGAGAAAAAAAACCUGCCUUGUCCUCGACAAGAAAGGACAUUAAGUCCUUUUAUCUGAAGAUAAAGUCAAGCACCUUCUCUUACCUAACUGAACAUAUUAAUAGCUCAAAUAAAAGGACUCAGUGUUUGCUUAUUUGAUUCAAAUAAAGUCAAAGAGAGUGUCUCUUCUGUGAUUUUCAUUCUUUUCUUUAGUCAAACUUUACU